ACGGGUGAGUAAUGUCUGGGAAACUGCCUGAUGAGGGGGAUAACUACUGGAAACGGUAGCUAAUACCGCAUAACGUCGCAAGACCAAANAGGGGGACCUUCGGGCCUCUUGCCAUCAGAUGUGCCCAGAUGGGAUUAGCUAGUAGGUGGGGUAACGGCUCACCUAGGCGACGAUCCCUAGCUGGUCUGAGAGGAUGACCAGCCACACUGGAACUGAGACACGGUCCAGACUCCUACGGGAGGCAGCAUG
This 249-nucleotide ribosomal RNA is filed under the name uncultured bacterium. Its description in RNAcentral is "partial 16S ribosomal RNA". It matches the Rfam family "Bacterial small subunit ribosomal RNA", at positions 102 to 353 of the family's 1533-position model. The record is from RNAcentral.